GCGCCGCUAGCUCAGUUGGUAGAGCAGCUGACUCUUAAUCAGCGGGUCCGGGGUUCGAAUCCCUGGCGGCGUA
This 73-nucleotide transfer RNA is filed under the name Acidobacteriota bacterium. Its description in RNAcentral is "tRNA-Lys". It matches the Rfam family "tRNA". From Rfam's summary of the family: Transfer RNA (tRNA) molecules are approximately 80 nucleotides in length. Their secondary structure includes four short double-helical elements and three loops (D, anti-codon, and T loops). Lineage: Bacteria; Pseudomonadati; Acidobacteriota. RNAcentral also lists the same sequence under 2 other names. The record is from RNAcentral.